AACUAUUUUAUUUUGUGCAUUUUGUUUAGUAGGAGUGAAAGGACAUUGGUUCAAUAUGGUCCAUAGUUUAUAGUCUUCAGUUGUCAGGAAGUCUUCUAUUCUUGCUUUCCACCAGAUGUAAUAUUUUCCAUUUAACAGGGGUGACCUAGUAGUUGAUUGUCCUUCAUUACUUUCGGAUGGAGCACUCAUCUUGCUUCCAAGAUCUCUCUAGGCGUUAGCUGUGCAAAUGAGAGAACCUGCUCUGAUACCAAUUAUUAGUGUGAGUGUCCGUAUGAAUUACUAAGAAUUUAUUACCAUGUUCCUUAAGCGUAAAGUAAAUAGAUAGCAAAAUGAACACCUUAAUUUCACGUGAAAAAUCACCCAACUCAAAAGGUACAAAAAUUACAAUCUACCACGUAGGAUUUCAG
Molecule: long non-coding RNA, 407 nt
Filed under: Nicotiana benthamiana
Lineage: Eukaryota; Viridiplantae; Streptophyta; Magnoliopsida; Solanales; Solanaceae
Description: long non-coding RNA (NBEN_LNC026214)
Source: RNAcentral